AACGAACGCUGGCGGCAUGCCUAACACAUGCAAGUCGAACGAGACCUUCCGGUCUAGUGGCGCACGGGUGCGUAACGCGUCGCAAUCUGCCCCUGGGUUCGGAAUAACACUUGUCACAGAGUGCUCAUACCGGAUGAUGACGUAAGUCCAAAGACCUAUCGCGCAGGGAUGAGCCCGCGUAGGAUUAGCUAGUCGGAGGGGUGAAGGCGUACCCAGGCGACGAUCGGGACCUGGUCUGAGAGGAUCGCCAGCAAAGCUGGGACUGAGACACGGCCCGUACGCCUACGGGAGGCAGCAGUGGGGAAUAUUGGAGAAUGGGCGAAUGCCUGAUCGAGGGAUGGCGCGUGAGUGAUGAAGGCCUUAGGGUUGUGGAGGUCUUUUACCCGGGAUGAGGGUGACAGUACCGGGAGAAUAAGCCCCGGCUAACUCCGUG
Molecule: ribosomal RNA, 433 nt
Filed under: uncultured bacterium
Lineage: Bacteria
Description: partial 16S ribosomal RNA
Rfam family: Bacterial small subunit ribosomal RNA
Source: RNAcentral